Molecule: long non-coding RNA, 727 nt
Organism: Dendroctonus ponderosae (mountain pine beetle)
Lineage: Eukaryota; Metazoa; Arthropoda; Insecta; Coleoptera; Curculionidae
Exons: 2
Source: RefSeq, a predicted model, not a curated record
ACCUGAAACAAGAAGUACAUCAGUAGUAAAGACAAUGUUACGCUACAAUAAUUAAUAUACUUAAGUGAAAUGACUUGGUUACAGGUUGUUGAUGACAUAUUAGCCCCCUAAUAUGGUAUAUUGGCCUGUAAAAGCAUGACCACCGUAUCAAUGGUUGCCUAAUUGCGUGUAUAAAUGAUCACACGUGCUGUGUGAUAUUUUACAAAUAAUACAUGUUUAGUUACAAUACUAUACUAAGUAUGCGCAUGAUAUCGUUAGUAUCUGCAAUGUUGUGUAUCAAAACAACGUCCGAAAGUGAUAAUUCUAGAUAAUAUAGUGCCAAUUUUAAUAGGUUAAUGUAAUUUUGGGGUUUUGGCAGUGGCGGCGCUAGAGGUCUGUGAGGAUGAGCGAGCGCCCAACCAAAAUUUGUCUCGCUCAACCACUUUUAAUAGCGAUAUAAAUAAUUACGAAUUUAAAAAAAUCGGAUCAAAUUUGACAAUAAUGAUAGUGAACGUGAAAACAUUCCGAGUUGUCGGGAAUUGGAAAGCAAAAUUUUAAGACAACCGCCAAAGAUUUUCAUAUAGAGGAAAAAUAAAUCAUUGAUUUGGCUCUAUCGCUACAUGAACUUUCAAGGCCGCUGGUCUUAGCAAGUUUUCCUAAAAAACAGUAUGGUACUGAUCUUCGUAGUUUUAAGUCCAGUUAUUAUGUCUUGUAUCCUUGGAUUAAGUACAGCAUUCUCAAAGAUGCU